GUAGAACUCAGUGUUUAUACUGUUGGGUUGUAAGCUAUCCAAGCGAAAUAUGAGAUGCUGUUCCUCCAGUUUGUGUGUUGCCUCACUCUGGCAAUGGAGGAGGUGCAGGAUAGAAGGGUCAGUAUGGGACUGGAAGGAGAGGUUGAAACAGACCG
Amblyraja radiata (thorny skate) is the source of this 155-nucleotide long non-coding RNA. RefSeq lists it as uncharacterized. Lineage: Eukaryota; Metazoa; Chordata; Chondrichthyes; Rajiformes; Rajidae. The record is from RefSeq and is a predicted model, not a curated record. The transcript is spliced from 3 exons.